This 1949-nucleotide long non-coding RNA is filed under the name Capsicum annuum. RNAcentral's name for it is "long non-coding RNA (CANN_LNC013001)". Lineage: Eukaryota; Viridiplantae; Streptophyta; Magnoliopsida; Solanales; Solanaceae. The record is from RNAcentral.
ACGGAGUGCAGUCUCUCUUGCAUGUAAAGGUGAAAAUCCUUUCUUCUCCAUUGAUGAAGGCUACUGCUGCGAUCCUCACCAUUUUGUAGACGGAGAGAGAGAGAGAGAGAUUGGAGCUCAGCUUGAAGGUCUGCAAGAGAGAGAUCUGAGACAAAGAAGAAAUAUCUGGCUGAAAAAGGGAAUGCCAAUCAGAGAACAAAGAAAACCAAGAUUAGAGUUUACGUACUUUACUAAUUGUGAUCUCUUUACGACCUUUUAUAAGAACUUGUAGACCUGGUCAUUUUGUUGUAUACCCAGUAUAUCCAAUGUAUUUUCGGGUCCUACUGGGGGAUUUUCAGUUUUGAGGCAAACUGAGACCUGUUUCUUUCGGGUUGACAGAUCAAUUGUUUCAAUCUGGGUGUCAAAACAUUUAACUGAAGAAAGUGUCGAUAGUGCUUAGCUUUGCUGGAUCAGAUAUGAUACCAUGCAUUUUACUAUUAGCAGAACUAAGAUAUGUUUCUUAUGACUGCAUUCUAUAAUAUGCCUGCUAAGCUUUCUUACAGCUUAAUGUUUGCUAAGGCUGACGCUCAAUUGUCUCGUGCCUUCCGGAAUCAUCAAUGAUUUCGGUGAAAACUGACAUCUACAGAUGAAAGAGCUGGUGUAUUAUGUGUGAUACUACUUACAGAUGUGACUUGAAGGGGUCUAGGAGUCUUCUUUUUGUCCUUGUCUACUGUAUCUUUAACUUAUUAAUAUGCGAUUCAUUCUAAUCCAAUUUAUCAACCUGGUGUCUGUACUUACAUAUGCUCGUAUGGAUUCUCCCUGGUAUUCAGAACUUUAUUCUGGGUGAACAUAGAACGUCAAUCAUGAACUUGUUAAUUUCUGAACAAGUUGCUGGAAGAAAAAUCAUUUAGCAUUUUUAGCAAGGACUGUUAAUUGAUACUGAAGUAUUGGCUUUGUUAUUUCUACAGGAUGGUGACAAACCAAUACAACUUGCAGCUGCAAGAGGCAGUCGGGCAGCUGUUGAAGCUCUAUUGGCCGUCACAUCACGUAUUCAGAGUGUUCCAGAAUGAAGUGUGGAUGGAGUCAUUGAGUUUGUGGAAUCUGAAUAUAGGAGAGAACAGGUACUUAAUUUGUCUUUCUGUAAGGUAAAUCACCGCUGGUUUUGGUCCUCUGUCAGUGUUGCUUCUAUAUAUUGGUGUUAGCUCAGUGACUAUUUCCGUCCCUCUCAUGCAAAUUUCAGCUUCUUUUUAGUUGUCUAAACUGUGAUAAUUGCAGGAAAGAUUAGAUGCUGGGAGGAAAGCAAACAAGUCAAGAGAAACCACUAUUCCGAAGAAAGAUUUACCCGAGGUCUGUUAUUAAUGGUCACUGUUUUCUAUUUUGUGUGUGAACUAGGGUCAUUUCAUUAUCUAAUUGUACGUGAAAAGUAUUUACUGUAUCUGUCUUUGUUUAUACUCUUUCUUUUACUUGUGUCUCUUUCAUUUGAAGUACCUCGGCAUGGUCACCAUCCUGUGUUGGAGAAAACCACUUUACAGAAUAAUGCUAAAUAUCUUACAUUGGCAUAAAUGAUUGGUCUAUAGGUGACUCCUGAAGCAAAGAAGAAAGCUGCAGAAGCAAAGGCGAGGGGAGAUGAGGCAUUUAAGAGGAAUGAUAUUGCUACGGCUAUAGAUGCUUAUACGCAGGUACCUGUUAGUCUUAUUGGAUUCCCCCCUGAAUUCCCAACUUACCCCUUCCCCUGUAAAACACCCGUAAAAGGGAAAAAGAAAGAAGACAGUGAUGAAAGGAAGUAACUAUCCUCUUCAUGGUGUAACUAUAUGGAUUAGACUGAUUAUCAGCGUGUAUGCAUCACUUACAGGGCUCACUUGUGUUUGCUGAUAAUCUGUAGGCAAUCAAUUUUGAUCAACUGAUGGCACUCUGUUUUCCAAUAGAAGUCUUUGUUGGAUCCACAUGGGGCAACCUGAACCUGCCUUAAG